AAUGAGAAGCGAAAUGAAAUAUUUGUUUACAUUUAUUUUAUAAUUUGAAUAAUUGAUUUUUUGAUUUUUUUUUUGCAAUUAAAUAAAAUACAUUGACUAAUAUUAUCAAUAUGAUAUGUUUAAAUUAUAUUUUUUUUGUUCUUUUUUCGCUAUUAUCUACUACAUUAAAACAAUACCAAAUUUAAAUAAUAAAUAUAAAUUUAUUAAAAUAAAACAAAAUUCAAU
This 225-nucleotide long non-coding RNA is filed under the name Salvia miltiorrhiza (redroot sage). Its description in RNAcentral is "long non-coding RNA (SMIL_LNC001578)". Lineage: Eukaryota; Viridiplantae; Streptophyta; Magnoliopsida; Lamiales; Lamiaceae. The record is from RNAcentral.